RNAcentral lists this ribosomal RNA (599 nucleotides) under uncultured Paracoccaceae bacterium. RNAcentral's name for it is "bacterial SSU rRNA". It matches the Rfam family "Bacterial small subunit ribosomal RNA", at positions 65 to 710 of the family's 1533-position model. Lineage: Bacteria; Pseudomonadati; Pseudomonadota; Alphaproteobacteria; Rhodobacterales; Paracoccaceae. The record is from RNAcentral.
AGCGCGCCCUUCGGGGUGAGCGGCGGACGGGUUAGUAACGCGUGGGAACGUGCCCAGAUCCAAGGAAUAGCCACUGGAAACGGUGAGUAAUACCUUAUACGCCCUUCGGGGGAAAGAUUUAUCGGAUUUGGAUCGGCCCGCGUUAGAUUAGAUAGUUGGUGGGGUAAUGGCCUACCAAGUCUACGAUCUAUAGCUGGUUUUAGAGGAUGAUCAGCAACACUGGGACUGAGACACGGCCCAGACUCCUACGGGAGGCAGCAGUGGGGAAUCUUGGACAAUGGGCGCAAGCCUGAUCCAGCCAUGCCGCGUGAGUGAUGAAGGCCUUAGGGUCGUAAAGCUCUUUCGCCAGGGAUGAUAAUGACAGUACCUGGUAAAGAAACCCCGGCUAACUCCGUGCCAGCAGCCGCGGUAACACGGAGGGGGUUAGCGUUGUUCGGAAUUACUGGGCGUAAAGCGCGCGUAGGCGGACUGGAAAGUUGGGGGUGAAAUCCCAGGGCUCAACCCUGGAACUGCCUCCAAAACUAUCAGUCUAGAGUUCGAGAGAGGUGAGUGGAGUUCCGAGUGUAGAGGUGAAAUUCGUAGAUAUUCGGAGGAACACC